AAACUUUCAACAACGGAUCUCUUGGUUCUCGCAUCGAUGAAGAACGCAGCGAAAUGCGAUACGUAAUACGGAAUCGCAGCUCUCGGAAUCAUCGAAUCUUUGAACGCACAUUGCACCAAGGGGUAUUCCCCUUGGUAUGCCUGUUUGAGCGAAGGAU
RNAcentral lists this ribosomal RNA (157 nucleotides) under Kodamaea fungicola. RNAcentral's name for it is "[Candida] fungicola 5.8S rRNA". It matches the Rfam family "5.8S ribosomal RNA". Rfam says of the family: 5.8S ribosomal RNA (5.8S rRNA) is a component of the large subunit of the eukaryotic ribosome. The record is from RNAcentral. Lineage: Eukaryota; Fungi; Ascomycota; Pichiomycetes; Serinales; Debaryomycetaceae.